CUCUUCUUGCAGUUUAUUGACUUGCUUCAGUAGCAUUUCAAUCUUUGGUGUUAUCUCCUCUGUCUGCACACCUCUCUUGUCCAAUUCUUCUCCUUUUCCCUUCUGUUUAGCUAAAUCUUGAAGUUCUUUCUCUAAAUUUACAGUCCUCUUUGCAAUCACAUUCCUUUCAGCCAAUAUAAUUUCUUGCUGCUUCUUCAUCAUGUUCCCUACCACUAACAUUUCAGACCUCAAGAAUCUACAGUCAAAACCUCGCAUUUCCAAAGUCCUAAUCAUCUUGCUUAAUGACUCCACAUAGUCUG
Molecule: unclassified non-coding RNA, 299 nt
Filed under: Hevea brasiliensis (rubber tree)
Lineage: Eukaryota; Viridiplantae; Streptophyta; Magnoliopsida; Malpighiales; Euphorbiaceae
Source: RNAcentral